CUGCACCUGGGGGGCCUGCACCUGGGGGACACUUGCCAGGAGCCGGGCUGGAACCCACAUCCCAGGCCCCAUUGCAGUGCCUGAAUUGUGGGUCAGUUGCUGUCAGUUGCUCCCACACAGGCACCCCAAGGCCACUCACUCACUGGGCACCUCACAGGAUUCUUUGGGACUCCAGGGGCCCCGAGCGCCCCAUCUCUGGAGCAGGGACUCCCCAGAGGCUGUGGGACAGCCAGCAGCAGCGUCCACGAACCAGGCAGAUGGGAAUGGCUCAAGGCCCCAAGUGCCCAGGUGGGUCUGAUGCCAGGAGGAUGUGGUUUAGCUCCAGGCCCUGCUGUCUCCUUCCAUGCCCGGGGUCAAUGGAUCCUUAUCUGGAGAGAUCUUAUCUGUGUGUCCUUGAUGGACUCUGGAGCCGGCUCCUGGAGAAGGCACGGGCAGUGUGCUAGGAAGCUGGACACAGAAGGUCGAAGCAGAACAGGGAAGGGAGGGCAUCCUCCAUGGCCCAAGGGGCAAGGCUUUGAACCUCACUUACACAGACUGGCUGGGAGCUUCCUAGCAGCCAAGGCAAAGAGGAAAGAAGUUGAAGGAAGGUGGAGGCGGUGUAAGAGACCGGACUGAGGGAUGGACCCCAGGACGCUCCCCGGAAGUUGUCUGAGUCGUCCUUGGAACAUAACAGGACUCAGUGUACUCACUGAACAAAGCACUCAUUGCUGCAUGUUUAAGGCCCCUCAUUGAAAUGAAUCCCAGACUGGUUCCCAGUCUCCUGGGCUUUCACCUUGCCCCACGGACGGCGUGCUGGCUCUUCCCUGUCACCCCACAUUGUGACCGGCUGUGCUCCACAUGGCACAAACUUAUUCCCUAAUUGACCCAUGGGGUCAGCUGGAGCUGUAGGGCUGCCCACAGGGGCUGCAGGGAAUGAUGGCCGUCCCAGGACCCCUAGGGAGGGUCGUCCCGGGACCCCUGCGGCUCAGGUCCACCCAGCACUUUCUGAAAGAGCAGUCGCCUCUGGGGGGCAGCACAGUGUCACCAGGAAAAGCCGGACAUGGCUUCCGGGCCCUGGGCUUGUAUCCAGGAGCCAGCCCCUGCCGCGCCAGCGGGGGAGUGACGGGGCCAAGUCACUUCCGCCCCAAGCCUCACUGUCCCCCUCCACCCCCAUCAAGUGGGUCUAAGAGUGUUCCGAGCCAGGCUCCCGGUGAGGUGGGGGUGGGGACGGCGGGACAGACGGGGAGCGUCCUGCUCCUGGCCCCUUUUCACCUCUGAUGCUGAAGUUAAACAUUCGACAGGCUAUGACAAAAUGAAGCAACCGUUUAAAAAUAGGAGAGAAUGUUCUGUGAUUUCCGGCUGGGUCACUCUUGGCGGGCUGUGGCAGGGAGGGGCAGGGCAGGGCUGAGCGUGGCUCGGGAAG
Callithrix jacchus (white-tufted-ear marmoset) is the source of this 1402-nucleotide long non-coding RNA. RefSeq lists it as uncharacterized. Lineage: Eukaryota; Metazoa; Chordata; Mammalia; Primates; Cebidae. The record is from RefSeq and is a predicted model, not a curated record.